Molecule: ribosomal RNA, 153 nt
Filed under: Curcuma flaviflora
Lineage: Eukaryota; Viridiplantae; Streptophyta; Magnoliopsida; Zingiberales; Zingiberaceae
Description: partial 26S ribosomal RNA
Rfam family: Eukaryotic large subunit ribosomal RNA
Source: RNAcentral
UCAGGCGAGGCCACCCGCCGAGUUUAAGCAUAUAAAUAAGCGGAGGAGAAGAAACUUACAAGGAUUCCCCUAGUAACGGCGAGUGAACCGGGAUCAGCCCAGCUUGAGAAUUUGACGGUUGAAACCGUUCGAAUUGUAGUCUGGAGAAGCGUC